Molecule: non-coding RNA, 3188 nt
Organism: Oryctolagus cuniculus (rabbit)
Lineage: Eukaryota; Metazoa; Chordata; Mammalia; Lagomorpha; Leporidae
Source: RefSeq, a predicted model, not a curated record
CAGAAUUUUAAAUACGUCUCUGGCUGCUUUUUAAAAGCAGAAAUCGGAGUAAAAAGAGGGCUACUGAGGAGGGACUGCAGGGUCCCAUGGGAGUGGUGGCCAUGGCAAUGGGGAGAAGAGGAGAAAUCCAUCUGUUGUGAAAAGCUGGAAGUUUUUUGGCUGCAGAAAGUGAGGGAGAAGUAGAUGUUAAAAGUCACUCCCAGCAGAGUGUGUUCGGCUGAAUGGCUAAGACCCCAGGUUCUUCAGAAAUAAAUGUUUAAAAAAGAAAGGAAGAAAGGAAAGAAGGAAGGAAGAAAGACAAGAGAGAGAGAGAUGGAGAGACAUAAGGAGCUCGCUUGCAAGCCUUUCACUAUUACGGGGAAAUGUAAAUGCGGGACUCUGGACCUGCAUGGGGCCAAUGCCUAAUGAAGUGGGUGUCACCCAGGAAAGAGGGCUGCAGAGAGGCAAAUGGCUGAACUGAAACAAAGAGCGACCUUUUGUGGUGCCAGGUGUCAGUUUUUGUGUUUCUGCUCCAAAGUCUCCUCCCCAGGGACCAGCAUCCUCUUCUUACACAAGGGAGGGCUAAUUGACCUGGUUCAUCUCUGCACGCUAGUUCGAGCCCUACAUCACUGGAGCAGCGGCUGCCUCAGCCCAGCCCGAUCUUGGUCCCUCAGCUGUGCGUGGGGAAGGACCUUCUCACGCUGAGCUCAUCAGUCUGGCCCUGACAGACGGAAGGCUUCCUCUCUUCACUUGCUACUACCCUUGACCGCUCACCACCUAACCUAGCAGCGAGACGUAUGACUGGAGCCCUCGGGAACCCUGGCUGCUGAGGAAGUUCGGCCAGGCACAAGCCUGCAACUGGGGAGAUUGCAUUUCUGUCUCCAGUCCUUGCCUGAAUAUAGCUCACGGUAAAAGAUGGUCCAAAGAGAGAAGAAUUAACACAAGUAUAUGACAAUAAAAUAAACUUUGACUCAAGAGAAGGAGAAAAAUGUGUUAAUAUUCUGGAGUUAAAUAUAGAUUUUUCUCCUCUAAAAUAUCUAUAUUUUUCAUAUGAAAUAAAAAUGUUUUUAGGAAUUAUUUGCUUUUUUUCAUAAGCUGAAAUUAUCUGAUCAAAUAGGAACAAUGCUUCUUGUAAAUACAACAAGCUAAAUUGGAAAUGAUUUCAUGGAAUUAAAAUAUAGUACACAUGGGCAUUCAUUUGGAAUGUAAAAAACAAUAAAUAUAUAACAGUAAUGAAAGGGCAAACUGGAGAAAUUAUACUAGAAAACAAAGGAGUAAAGAUAUAUAAAUUAGAGAUAAUAAACAGCUAACAUGAAAAAUAGAGACAAGGAUCUAGUUUUAUUGAUACUACUGAGGCAAUAAUAAAUGAAAAUAUGCUUAACCUUACAAACAAAAGCAAUCUGAGUAUAUAUUCAACCUGUUUUAUCCCAAAUAAUCAACUGUUGAACAAAUUCUGGCAAUUAAAUAUAAAUUUCAACAUAAAGGAUUAUCUAAUUUUAAAAAUGAAAGAGGCUACAGAUAAGACAAAAACAAAAAAUUGGCAUUCCUUAGACCUUUCUUUGGCAAUAAUGAGUGAUAAAAAGUGAUAAGAAAUGUCUCAGAGAGCUACAGAGAUGAGGCCAUGACCUAUACAUUCAGAAUUAGGAAUUUAUGUGACCUAACCUUAGAAGGACAUUUUUAGAAAUGCAAGCACUAAAAAAAUGUAUGCCUCACUUACGCCUCCUGAAAUUUCCCUCAGAAUGUUUACCAGGGCACCAUGAAUUGAGUCCAAAGUGAGAUGUUAAAGACAGUAGGAGCAAAGAACUGGAAAUAAACAGUGCCCCCCCCCCACUCAUGAGGGAUACUUUCCAAGUAGAUGUCUGAACCCGUGGAUACUAUGAGCCCUAUAAUAUAUCAUGUUUUUUCCCUACACAUACAUACCUAUGGGAAAGCUUAAUUUAUAAAUUAGGUGCUAAAGAGAGUAACGGCAACAACUUUAAAUACAAUGGAACAAUUAUAACAAAAUAUGGUGAUAAAUAUUGUGAAUAUGGUCUCUUUCUCAAAAUGUCAUAAUACACUUUUACCGUUUCACGUACAGUAAGCACUGGAUGACUUCUCUUUGGCGCAUCUGAGUUGCCUGCACCACUGCUUUCUGUGUUUUGGAGCCAUUAUUAGGUAACAUGAGGUUUACUUGAACAUAAGUACUCUAAUACCACCCAGUUGACCUGUACUGAGACAGCUACUAAGUGGCUAGCAGGCGAAUAGAAUAUAAAGCAUGGAUAUGCUGGACAAAAGGAUGAUUCACAUCUUGGGCAGGAUGGCACAAACAUUACCAUGCUUUCAGAAUGGCGCACAAUUUAAAACCUAUGUAUUGCUCAUUUCUGGAAUUUUCCAUUUGAUAUUUUUGGACUAGAGCUGACUGCAGGUCAGCUUUUUGUUGCCAUAACAAAGCAACCGACACAGGCUAUUUAUAGAAAAGAGGUUUCUUUUGGAGGGUCACAGUACGAGACUGGACAGCCCCCCUGUCCUGAUACCUGGUGAUGACAUUCUUGCUGGCAGAUUUCCGAGGCGACACAAAGUAUUGCAUGAUAAGAAGGAAGGGGUACUUCUAUGUUGAUGUCAUCUCAUAAACCACCGGAAUUUGGGCUUUACCCUAAUGACCCAAUCCAUUCACUUCUCAAAGGCCCCACCUCUAAACGCUGUAUUUGGAUUAAGUUUCCAUCCUCUUAGUACCACUUGGGGACCAAGCCCACGGACCAAGCCUUCAACGUGGGCCUUUAGGGGACAUUCAAUACCCAAACUGAUAUCUAAACCAUAUCAGCAGGUAAUUAAAACCACAGAAAAUGAAGCAAUGGAUAAGGCGGAGCUACUGUUCAGAAUCUAGUCAUACAUAUGCACACACUUAUUAUAGAUGAGCUUAUAGGGACUUGUCUUUUUAAAUUUAAUUUUAUUUAUUUGAAAGUUACACAGAGAGAGGGGGAGACAGAGAAAGAGAUCUUCCAUCUGCUGGUUCACGCCCCAAAUGGACAGAAUGGACAGGGCUGGGCCAGGCCAAAGCUAGGAGCCUGGAAUUCCAUCAGGGUCUCCCACAUGGAUGGCAAGGGCCCAAGCAUAUCAGUCAUCCUUGGCAGCUUCCCCAGGCACAUUAGCGGGGAGCUGGAUCAGAAGUGGAGCAGCCAGGACUCAAAUUGGUGCUCAUAUGGGAUGCUGGCAUCACUGGCAGCCACUUA